This 1629-nucleotide long non-coding RNA is filed under the name Olea europaea subsp. europaea. Lineage: Eukaryota; Viridiplantae; Streptophyta; Magnoliopsida; Lamiales; Oleaceae. The record is from RNAcentral.
UUCCUAUGUCAAAAAUGGGUCUCAAAUGAGACUAAAAAUAUGAAGUAUACUUUAGUCAUCCAAUAUUCAUGUCUUAAUGCCACUAAGGUGUCUAGAAUUAUUUGGUGUUCUACAGAAGAUAUUACACACACUCUUUCCAAACCCUUUACACCUUAUUUAUCUAUUUACCUCUACAGUGAAGAAGUGUGAUUUUCAACUAAUAAAAUGUAAAAAAAUGUUUCUAGCUUAUUACAAUUAAUCAAAGUAAGAUGACACCGUUUUGAUAAGUUGCCACGACACCAUUUUUGAAUUUAAAACCAGUCAAAUCUGUUGCCUUCUUGUACCUCUUCUAGUUCUGGUUUUCCUAAUUCUUUUUCUCCCAAUUAUUUUCCACAUGACAAUCCUCCCUCUCAUCUUGAUCUUGUUCCCAAAAUCUACAGGUCUAAAACUAGGAUUGAAUCCAUUCAACGUCCUCCCAGGUUGCACUCUUUAGGGAAAAUCAGACCAAUUGAUAAGCCAUUGUACUGCCAUAUGGUUCCUGAGCUUCACCAAACUGGAUUGCAAGACUACUAGGGGAUAAUGCGCUAACUGUAGUGACUGCUUUUUCUUCAGGUAGUUGUUCAACCGACACAGUGUUGUCACCAAGCUUUUUCUUCAAUAGUGAUACAUGGAAAACUGAAUGAAAUUUUGAAUCUUCCAGUAGUGCUAAUUGAUAUGCCACAACUCCUAUCUUCUUAAGGAUUUGAUAAGGACUGAAAUAUCUAGCUUUGAGCUUAUGAUUAAGGGUGUAGCUUGAGGAAAACCUAAUCAUCCACUUCAAAAGACCCUGCUCCCCUAUUUUUGUCUGCAUAAAGUUUUAUCCUAGCCAUGGCCUAAGACAUGUUCUCCUUUAACUAUUGGUUUAAUUUGUAUCUCUGCAUCUCAACCACCAGCCUCUUUAUUUCUAUUUUCUGACUGAAAGAGCAUCUAUAAGGUCUCAUUCUAAAUGUUUGUGCUCCCUCCUUCAAGGAGAUGUGAUGAUCGCGUGAUUUGGGAGGAGGUAACUCUGUUUGCUCGUCAAAUACCCUAGGAACUUUGUGUAUGACCUCCAAAAUCUGGCCAUGUGUAUCCAUAGUUUGUCCCUCCUCGAUAUGGUACAAUUGCCCCACUAUCCCAUAAGGCUCCUUACAAAACAUUUUCUCCAUCUUAUCUACCCUCAGUAUUUUGAUAGCAUCUUUAGAAGCUUCACUCUUCAGCUCUAUUACUCCAUCCUUGCUUCUGAAUUGAACACACCCUUGUGUAGAAUCAAAGGUAAUUAGUCCAAAUUGACUCAUCCAAUUUACUCCUAACACCACAUCGUUUCUAGCCAACCUAAAGUUCUAAAUUCGAAUUGAAAUUCCCAGGACCACAUCUUCCAUACCACUGGUUGGCUUAAGGCAUUACUUUCCAGUUUAUCCCCAUUAGCCACUCUAACUAUCACUUCACUAUUUUCGUUAAUGAUAUAUCUCAGUUCUUUGGCUAAUUUCUCAUCAACAAAACUGUGUGUACUUCUACGAUCAAUAAGUAUGGAGACUUUCCUACCUUUGAUCACUCCAGGAACUCUAAUGGUCUUGUGUUGCCACCUCCCAGCCAAUUCAUUAAUGGCUAUCUCUAUGAUCUUUUCACCUCCUG